GAUGAACGCUGGCGGCGUGCUUAACACAUGCAAGUCGAACGGAAAGGCCCAAGCUUGCUUGGGUACUCGAGUGGCGAACGGGUGAGUAACACGUGGGUGAUCUGCCCUGCACUUCGGGAUAAGCCUGGGAAGCUGGGUCUAAUACCGGAUAGGACGAUGGUUUGGAUGCCAUUGUGGAAAGUUUUUUCGGUGUGGGAUGAGCUCGCGGCCUAUCAGCUUGUUGGUGGGGUAAUGGCCUACCAAGGCGUCGACGGGUAGCCGGCCUGAGAGGGUGUACGGCCACAUUGGGACUGAGAUACGGCCCAGACUCCUACGGGAGGCAGCAGUGGGGAAUAUUGCACAAUGGGCGCAAGCCUGAUGCAGCGACGCCGCGUGGGGGAUGACGGCCUUCGGGUUGUAAACUCCUUUCGCUAGGGACGAAGCGUUUUUGUGACGGUACCUGGAGAAGAAGCACCGGCUAACUACGUG
RNAcentral lists this ribosomal RNA (468 nucleotides) under uncultured bacterium. Its description in RNAcentral is "partial 16S ribosomal RNA". It matches the Rfam family "Bacterial small subunit ribosomal RNA", at positions 28 to 507 of the family's 1533-position model. The record is from RNAcentral.